UCUAACUCGCGAUGCAUCUAGAUUAGAGUUUGAUCCUGGCUCAGGACGAACGCUGGCGGCGUGCCUAAUACAUGCAAGUCGAGCGAAUCUUUAGGAGCUUGCUCCUGAAGGUUAGCGGCGGACGGGUGAGUAACACGUGGGCAACCUGCCUGUAAGACUGGGAUAACUUCGGGAAACCGGAGCUAAUACCGGAUAAUUCUUUCCCUCUCAUGAGGGAAAGCUGAAAGACGGCGUAAGCUGUCACUUACAGAUGGGCCCGCGGCGCAUUAGCUAGUUGGUGAGGUAACGGCUCACCAAGGCGACGAUGCGUAGCCGACCUGAGAGGGUGAUCGGCCACACUGGGACUGAGACACGGCCCAUACUCCUACG
This 369-nucleotide ribosomal RNA is filed under the name uncultured bacterium. Its description in RNAcentral is "bacterial SSU rRNA". It matches the Rfam family "Bacterial small subunit ribosomal RNA", at positions 1 to 343 of the family's 1533-position model. The record is from RNAcentral.